UAAGCACUGUUGGUGAUAUGUUCUUGUUUU
This 30-nucleotide non-coding RNA is filed under the name Rattus norvegicus (Norway rat). Lineage: Eukaryota; Metazoa; Chordata; Mammalia; Rodentia; Muridae. The record is from RNAcentral.